CCGAGCAACGCCGCGUGAGUGAAGAAGGUUUUCGGAUCGUAAAACUCUGUUGGUAGAGAAGAACGUUGGUGAGAGUGGAAAGCUCAUCAAGUGACGGUAACUACCCAGAAAGGGACGGCUAACUACGUGCCAGCAGCCGCGGUAAUACGUAGGUCCCGAGCGUUGUCCGGAUUUAUUGGGCGUAAAGCGAGCGCAGGUGGUUUAUUAAGUCUGGUGUAAAAGGCAGUGGCUCAACCAUUGUAUGCAUUGGAAACUGGUAGACUUGAGUGCAGGAGAGGAGAGUGGAAUUCCAUGUGUAGCGGUGAAAUGCGUAGAUAUAUGGAGGAACACCGGUGGCGAAAGCGGCUCUCUGGCCUGUAACUGACACUGAGGCUCGAAAGCGUGGGGAGCAAACAGGAUUAGAUACCCUGGUAGUCCACGCCGUAAACGAUGAGUGCUAGAUGUAGGGAGCUAUAAGUUCUCUGUAUCGCAGCUAACGCAAUAAGCACUUCCGCCUGGGGAGAC
Molecule: ribosomal RNA, 504 nt
Filed under: Lactococcus lactis subsp. lactis
Lineage: Bacteria; Bacillati; Bacillota; Bacilli; Lactobacillales; Streptococcaceae
Description: bacterial SSU rRNA
Rfam family: Bacterial small subunit ribosomal RNA
Source: RNAcentral